ACCAAUGCAGGUAAGUUUCCAACAUUAGUGACACAUCAGGAAUCCUUAGAGUCAAAAGUUAAUGAAACAAAAGCAAUGGUGAAGUUUCAACUUAAGAAAGUUCUUUGCAUGGGUGUUGCUGUUGGAAAUUGCUCAAUGGAGGAGAAACAGAUAUUCCAGAAUGUACAACUCAGUGUCAAUUUCCUUGUUUCAUUAUUGAAGAAAAACUGGCAAAAUGUGAGAUGCUUGUACCUCAAGAGUACAAUGGGGAGUGCAAUCCGCGUAUUUUAGAUUGUUUAGAUAUGGGUAGUUUGCAUUGGCUAAACCUCAUGAGUUGUGGACAUGUUAACGGGAUGUUAUUGCUGACAGUUAAUGCCCCCAUUUUUUUUUUCUGACAUUCUUAAGAUUCUUUGAUAUCAAUUGUUUUAUGAUAAUCCUUGUUUUCUGUGUCAUUAAUGACUGGCCACAAAAGAUUCAUAGAUGUAUUUGGUUAUUUGAAUUUUAUUCCGUGUUAGCUUUUUAUUUU
Arachis ipaensis is the source of this 505-nucleotide non-coding RNA. The record is from RefSeq and is a predicted model, not a curated record. Lineage: Eukaryota; Viridiplantae; Streptophyta; Magnoliopsida; Fabales; Fabaceae.